RNAcentral lists this transfer RNA (64 nucleotides) under Epicauta emmerichi. RNAcentral's name for it is "Denierella emmerichi tRNA-His". Lineage: Eukaryota; Metazoa; Arthropoda; Insecta; Coleoptera; Meloidae. The record is from RNAcentral.
AUCUAGAUAGUUUAAUUAAAACAUUGACUUGUGGUGUCAAUAAUAUACGAAUGUAUUUUAGGUA